Molecule: ribosomal RNA, 516 nt
Filed under: uncultured bacterium
Lineage: Bacteria
Description: bacterial SSU rRNA
Rfam family: Bacterial small subunit ribosomal RNA
Source: RNAcentral
AUUGAACGCUGGCGGCGUGCCUUACACAUGCAAGUCGAACGAGAACGGGACUUCGGUCCUUAGUAUAGUGGCGCACGGGUGAGUAACGCGUGGAUAAUCUACCUUCAAGAUUGGGAUAACGGUUGGAAACGAUCGCUAAUACCAAAUAAGCUCACGAUAAAUAAUUUGUGAGAAAAGAUGGCCUCUAUACUAUGCUAUUGCUUGAUGAUGAGUCCGCGUCCCAUUAGCUAGUUGGUAGGGUAAAGGCCUACCAAGGCAACGAUGGGUAACUGGUCUGAGAGGAUGAUCAGUCACACUGGAACUGAAACACGGUCCAGACUCCUACGGGAGGCAGCAGUGGGGAAUAUUGCGCAAUGGACGAAAGUCUGACGCAGCGACGCCGCGUGAGGGAUGAAGGUCUUCGGAUCGUAAACCUCUGUCAGAGGGGAAGAAAUUACAGGGUGCUAAUCAGCCUUGUAUUGACGGUACCCCCAAAGGAAGGACCGGCUAACUCCGUGCCAGCAGCCGCGGUAAUAC